GCGGCGGUGGUGGCCGGGGAGAAGGCCAUGGGAGGAGGAGGAGGGGAUGAGAGGAGGGAGCGAUGAGUGGCGGGCACGGGAUGCUGGGAUGGGUGGAGAUUUUGUAGCUGUGAGCUGUGAGGCCGUGUGCGCUAUGCUAAGAUUGAAUUUGUCGGGUGGUUGAUGGCCUAGAGGCUUUUGGGUCUUUGUGCUGGUCAAGUGAGC
RNAcentral lists this long non-coding RNA (204 nucleotides) under Hordeum vulgare. RNAcentral describes it as "long non-coding RNA (HVUL_LNC014588)". Lineage: Eukaryota; Viridiplantae; Streptophyta; Magnoliopsida; Poales; Poaceae. The record is from RNAcentral.